Molecule: ribosomal RNA, 431 nt
Filed under: uncultured bacterium
Lineage: Bacteria
Description: bacterial SSU rRNA
Rfam family: Bacterial small subunit ribosomal RNA
Source: RNAcentral
UCGAGAAUCUUCGGCAAUGGGCGCAAGCCUGACCGAGCGACGCCGCGUGUGCGAUGAAGGCCUUCGGGUUGUAAAGCACUGUCGAGGGGGAGGAAGCCGCAAGGUUGACCUAUCCCUGGAGGAAGGACGGGCUAAGUUCGUGCCAGCAGCCGCGGUAAGACGAACCGUCCUAACGUUGUUCGGAAUCACUGGGCUUAAAGGGCGCGUAGGCGGGCCAUCAAGUCGGGGGUGAAAUACUUCGGCUUAACCGGAGAACAGCUUUCGAUACUGGUGGCCUAGAGGGAGGUAGGGGUCUGUGGAACUUCCGGUGGAGCGGUGAAAUGCGUUGAUAUCGGAAGGAACGCCGGUGGCGAAAGCGACGGACUGGACCUCUUCUGACGCUGAGGCGCGAAAGCUAGGGGAGCAAACGGGAUUAGAUACCCCGGUAGUCC